Long non-coding RNA from Mastomys coucha (southern multimammate mouse), 759 nucleotides. RefSeq lists it as uncharacterized. NCBI's taxonomy places the organism in Eukaryota, Metazoa, Chordata, Mammalia, Rodentia, Muridae. The record is from RefSeq and is a predicted model, not a curated record. The transcript is spliced from 3 exons.
GUUCAUUAUAUAAAGAACUUUCUGUGUCCUUUAGUUGGCGUUCUGUGAUACAGAAAUUGAUCCUACUCUGCUAAACUUCUUAAAAUCCUGCUUUAUCCUGAACUCCUAAGGUCAUAAAAGAGCCAAGCAGGGGAUCAGAGAGUGCCAACUUCAGGAUGUCUACUGCAACUUUUUUGAUUUAUAAGGUCCCAAUCAUAGUUGCAUUUGGUCUGGCAGGUCUCUUGUUUGAAGGUGUUAGCAGACUUUUCAAGAACCGCCCUGAAGAUGACAAUGGGGACACAGGAGCCCAGAAAACAUCCAAACAGCAUUCAAAGAAAUCCAAGUGAAAUCUACCCAUGUAAUUAAGCAAAUCUAAAGAACAUCUUUCACUGGAACCCAAAGAAGUCCUCCACCUUCUGGGCUUUCAUAAACCAAGAUCUCCCUUCCCUGACAAAUAAGGAAAUAUCUUACCCUUUGCUUGCACCCUGAAUCUUGUGAUUUGACUCAGUUUGAUAAAUCAUAAUCUAUUGAAUAAAUAGAAAUUUAAUGUGUAUUUUAACCAAAAGUCCUCCCCAGGGCAUUUACUGUUUUGUUGUGUGGGCAUCUAUAAGUCUUACUGUAUAAGUGUAUGUAUUUCCCUUGCCUGAUUUGGUGGGUUGGAAGAACAAAUAGCCACAACUAUGAUUUUCUAUAAUCAUUUGUUUACUCAAUAACUGUGUAUUGAAUGCUUAAUUAAUAUGUUAAAAGCUCUUUUCAGGGCAGGAGUUAAGUAAACAUUGU